This 328-nucleotide unclassified non-coding RNA is filed under the name soil metagenome. RNAcentral's name for it is "partial contains 5.8S ribosomal RNA, internal transcribed spacer 2, and large subunit ribosomal RNA". The stretch from base 1 to 120 matches the Rfam family "5.8S ribosomal RNA", at positions 35 to 154 of the family's 154-position model. The record is from RNAcentral.
GAUGAAGAACGCAGCGAAAUGCGAUAAGUAAUGUGAAUUGCAGAAUUCAGUGAAUCAUCGAAUCUUUGAACGCACAUUGCGCCCCUCGGUAUUCCGAGGGGCAUGCCUGUUCGAGCGUCAUUAUAACCCUUCAAGCUCAGCUUGGUGUUGGGGCCUGCUGUAACUGGUAGCCCUUAAAAUCAGUGCCAGUGCUAUUAGGCUCUAAGCGUAGUAAUUCUUCUCGCUAUAGUGUGUAGUGAGCGCUUGCCAGAACCCCAAACUUUUAUAUGAUUGACCUCGGAUCAGGUAGGGAUACCCGCUGAACUUAAGCAUAUCAAUAAGCGGAGGA